RNAcentral lists this ribosomal RNA (497 nucleotides) under uncultured bacterium. RNAcentral describes it as "partial 16S ribosomal RNA". It matches the Rfam family "Bacterial small subunit ribosomal RNA", at positions 28 to 507 of the family's 1533-position model. The record is from RNAcentral.
GAUGAACGCUGGCGGCGUGCCUAAUACAUGCAAGUCGAGCGAACGGACGAGAAGCUUGCUUUGCUGAUGUUUGCGGCGGACGGGUGAGUAACACGUGGAAAAUCUACCUAUAAGACUGGGAUAACUUCGGGAAACCGGCGCUAAUCCGGGAUAAUAUUUUGAACCGCAUGGUUCAAUAGUGAAAUACGGUCUUGCUGUCAGUUAUCGAUGGAUCCGCGCUGGAUUAGCUAGUUGGUAAGGUAACGGCUUACCAAGGCAACGAUGCAUAGCCGACCUGAGAGGGUGAUCGGCCACACUGGAAGUUAGACACGGUCAAGACUCCUACGGUAGGCCGCAGUAUGGAAUCUUCCGCAAUAGGCGAAAGCAUGGCGGAGCAACGCCGCGUGAGUGAUGGCGGUCUUCCGAUCGUAAAACUCUGUUAUUAGUGAAGAACAUAUGUGUACGUUACUGUGCACAUCUUGACGGUAACUAAUCAGAAAGCCACGGCUAACUACGUG